RNAcentral lists this unclassified non-coding RNA (434 nucleotides) under soil metagenome. RNAcentral's name for it is "partial contains 5.8S ribosomal RNA, internal transcribed spacer 2, and large subunit ribosomal RNA". The stretch from base 1 to 120 matches the Rfam family "5.8S ribosomal RNA", at positions 35 to 154 of the family's 154-position model. The record is from RNAcentral.
GAUGAAGAACGUAGCGAAAUGCGAUACGUAAUGUGAAUUGCAGAAUUCAGUGAAUCAUCGAAUCUUUGAACGCAUAUUGCGCUCUUUGGUAUUCCGAAGAGCAUGCUUGUUUGAGUAUCAGUAAACACCUCAAAGCUUUUGGAUUUUUUAAUCGAAAAGCUUUGGACUUGAGCAAUCCCAACACCAAUCUUUUUGAGAUCGGUGGCGGGUUGCUUGAAAUGCAGGUGCAGCUGGACAUUCUCCUGAGCUAAAAGCAUAUUCAUUUAGUCCCGUCAAACGGAGUAUUACUUGUGCUGCAGCUAACAUAAAGGGAGUUUGGCCGUAUUGGCUGACUGAUGCAGGAUUUCACAAGGGUCGGCAACGAUUCUUGUUAAACUCGAUCUCAAAUCAAGUAAGACUACCCGCUGAACUUAAGCAUAUCAAUAAGCGGAGGA